GAGAGAGACAUGCGCGCAUAUCAAUAAGCGGAGGAAAAGAAACUAGCAAGGAUUCCCUUAGUAACGGCGAGUGAAGCGGGAAGAGCUCAAAUUUGAAAUCUUCAAGGUUUUACCUUGACGAAUUGUAGUUUAAAGAAGUGUUUUCUGCUGAAGUUUUGGUAAAAGUUCUUUGGAAUAGGACAUCAUAGAGGGUGAGAAUCCCGUAUUUGACCAUUAUUUUCAGCUUUGUGAUACACUUUCUAAGAGUCGGAUUGUUUGGGAAUGCAGUCCAAAAUGGGUGGUAAAUUUCAAUCUAAAGCUAAAUAUUGGCGAGAGACCGAUAGCGAACAAGUACCGUGAGGGAAAGAUGAAAAGAACUUUGAAAAGAGAGUUAAACAGUACGUGAAAUUGUCAAAAGGGAAGCGUUUGACACCAGUGUUGUUUUCUCGAAAAUCAAUUAAAAAUGGCUCGAUUUUGUAUUGCUUGAGACCUUAAAAGCUCACUGUACAUUUUUCGUGUCUUUUUUAAUGCACUUUUCGUUUAACAAGUCAACAUCAGUUUCUUUUGUUGUAAAAGGGUCAUUGGAAGGUGGCUUUCUUUUCGGAGAAAGUGUUUAUAGCCUUUGGCCUCUGCAAUCGAAGAGACUGAGGUCUGCAGCGUAGACUCUUCGGGGUUAGAUACAUUUGUGCUAAGUUAUAGCUUUUUAUAGACAACUUGUUGACUAUAAUUAGUCUUGUAGCUUACUCGCUUAUGCUAUUUUACCUACGCUUAGGAUGUUGAAGUCAUCGUAUCGCGC
Molecule: ribosomal RNA, 775 nt
Filed under: uncultured Neocallimastigales
Lineage: Eukaryota; Fungi; Neocallimastigomycota; Neocallimastigomycetes; Neocallimastigales
Description: partial large subunit ribosomal RNA
Rfam family: Eukaryotic large subunit ribosomal RNA
Source: RNAcentral